Molecule: ribosomal RNA, 482 nt
Filed under: uncultured bacterium
Lineage: Bacteria
Description: bacterial SSU rRNA
Rfam family: Bacterial small subunit ribosomal RNA
Source: RNAcentral
CUACGUGCCAGCAGCCGCGGUAAUACGGAGGAUACGAGCGUUAUCCGGAAUUAUUGGGUUUAAAGGGUGCGUAGGUGGYGUAUUAAGUCAGUGGUGAGAAGCUGCAGCUCAACUGUAGUCUUGCCGUUGAAACUGAUAUGCUAGAGAGGAGACGAGGUAUGCGGAAUGUGUGGUGUAGCGGUGAAAUGCAUAGAUAUCACACAGAACGCCGAUUGCGAAGGCAGCGUACCAGGCUCCGUCUGACACUGAAGCACGAAAGCGUGGGGAUCAAACAGGAUUAGAUACCCUGGUAGUCCACGCAGUAAACGAUGAAUACUAGAUUUUUGCGAUAUAGUGUAAGAGUCUAAGCGAAAGCGAUAAGUAUUCCACCUGGGGAGUACGCCGGCAACGGUGAAACUCAAAGGAAUUGACGGGGGCCCGCACAAGCGGAGGGACAUGUGGUUUAAUUCGAUGAUACGCGAGGAACCUUACCCGGGAUUGAA